RNAcentral lists this ribosomal RNA (445 nucleotides) under uncultured Ornithinibacter sp. RNAcentral's name for it is "bacterial SSU rRNA". It matches the Rfam family "Bacterial small subunit ribosomal RNA", at positions 338 to 795 of the family's 1533-position model. The record is from RNAcentral. Lineage: Bacteria; Bacillati; Actinomycetota; Actinomycetes; Micrococcales; Intrasporangiaceae.
CCUACGGGGGGCUGCAGUGGGGAAUAUUGCACAAUGGGCGAAAGCCUGAUGCAGCGACGCCGCGUGAGGGAUGAAGGCCUUCGGGUUGUAAACCUCUUUCAGUAGGGAAGAAGCGCAAGUGACGGUACCUACAGAAGAAGCACCGGCUAACUACGUGCCAGCAGCCGCGGUAAUACGUAGGGUGCGAGCGUUGUCCGGAAUUAUUGGGCGUAAAGAGCUUGUAGGCGGUUUGUCGCGUCUGCCGUGAAAAUCCGGGGCUCAACUCCGGACUUGCGGUGGGUACGGGCAGACUAGAGUGUGGUAGGGGAGACUGGAAUUCCUGGUGUAGCGGUGAAAUGCGCAGAUAUCAGGAGGAACACCGAUGGCGAAGGCAGGUCUCUGGGCCACUACUGACGCUGAGAAGCGAAAGCGUGGGGAGCGAACAGGAUUAGAUACCCCAGUAGUC